UAAUGGUAGGAUAUUAAAAUAUUUUUAAUAAUUUAUGAUUAAUAUUAUAAUUUAAUAUUUUUUUAUUUAAUUUAUUUUUUUAAUAUAUUAUACAUUAAUAAAUAAAGUUUUUAUUUUUAAGAAGUUAAAAAUUUAAAUUGGUUAUUAAAAUAAAUAAAUAUUGUGCCAGCAAUAGCGGUUAUACGGUAUAUUUAAUUAUAGUUUAUUAAUUUAAUAAUAAGUUUGUUCAAUUAUUUUUAUAUUUAUUAUUAAUUAUUAAGUAAAAUUUUUAUUUAAUUAUAUUUAUAAUUAAAUUAUUUAUAUAAAAUUAUUAAAAACUAGGAUUGGAUACCCUAUUAUUUAUUAUAAAAUUUAUUUAAUUAAUAUUUUUAUUUAAAUUUAUGUAUUAAUAUUAAUAUAUUUGGCGGUAAUUUAUUCACUUUAGAGGAAUUUAUUUUUAUUAAUUAGAUAGUGCACGAAAUUUAAUAUUUAUUAGGUUUGUUUUUAUAUCAUUGUUAAUUAAGAAAUUUGAAUAAUAACUUAUUAAUAUAUAUAUAUAUAUAUAUAUAUAUAUAUAUAUAUAUAUAUAUAUAUAUAUAUAUAAUUUCAAAUCAAGAUUUAAUUAUUAAUAAAUAAAAAUUAAUUACAUUUUAGUUAAAAUUAGAUUUAAAAUUAUUAAUUUUAAUGAUAUUGGAUUUAAAAGUAAAUAAAUUUAAUUUAAUUUAUUGAAAUUGUUUUAAAUUAUGUACAUAUCGCCCGUCAAUUUUGAUAAAUAAGUCGAAACAAAGUAAAAUUAUUGGAAAAUAAUUUUGAUU
This 794-nucleotide ribosomal RNA is filed under the name Dipterophagus daci. RNAcentral describes it as "12S ribosomal RNA". Lineage: Eukaryota; Metazoa; Arthropoda; Insecta; Strepsiptera; Halictophagidae. The record is from RNAcentral.